Molecule: ribosomal RNA, 468 nt
Filed under: uncultured bacterium
Lineage: Bacteria
Description: partial 16S ribosomal RNA
Rfam family: Bacterial small subunit ribosomal RNA
Source: RNAcentral
GACGAACGCUGGCGGCGUGCUUAACACAUGCAAGUCGAACGGAAAGGCCCUGCUUUUGUGGGGUGCUCGAGUGGCGAACGGGUGAGUAACACGUGAGUAACCUGCCCUUGACCUUGGGAUAACUUCAGGAAACUGGGGCUAAUACCGGAUAGGAGCUCCUGCUGCAUGGUGGGGGUUGGAAAGUUUCGGCGGUUGGGGAUGGACUCGCGGCUUAUCAGCUUGUUGGUGGGGUAGUGGCUUACCAAGGCUUUGACGGGUAGCCGGCCUGGGAGGGUGACCGGCCACAUUGGGACUGAGAUACGGACCAGACUCCUACGGGAGGCAGCAGUGGGGAAUAUUGCACAAUGGGCGGAAGCCUGAUGCAGCAACGCCGCGUGCGGGAUGACGGCCUUCGGGUUGUAAACCGCUUUCGCCUGUGACGAAGCGUGAGUGACGGUAAUGGGUAAAGAAGCACCGGCUAACUACGUG